This 492-nucleotide ribosomal RNA is filed under the name uncultured bacterium. RNAcentral's name for it is "partial 16S ribosomal RNA". It matches the Rfam family "Bacterial small subunit ribosomal RNA", at positions 29 to 507 of the family's 1533-position model. The record is from RNAcentral.
AGUGAACGCUGGCGGUAGGCCUAACACAUGCAAGUCGAACGGCAGCACAGUAAGAGCUUGCUCGUACGGGUGGCGAGUGGCGGACGGGUGAGGAAUACAUCGGAAUCUACUUUUUCGUGGGGGAUAACGUAGGGAAACUUACGCGAAUACCGCAUACGACCUACGGGUGAAAGCAGGGGAUCUUCGGACCUUGCGCGAUUGAAUGAUCCGAUGUCGGAGUAGCUAGUUGGCGGGGUAAAGGCCCACCAAGGCGACGAUCCGUAGCUGGUCUGAGAGGAUGACCAGCGACAGUGGAACUGAGACACGGUCCAGACUCCUACGGGAGGACGCAGUGGGGAAUAUUGGAAAAUGGGCGCAAGCAUGAUCCAGCAAUACCGCGUGGGUGAAGAAGGCCUUCGGGUUGUAAAGCAGUUUUGUUGGGAAAGAAAAGCAGCAGGUUAAUACCCCGAUGUUCUGACGGUACCCAAAGAAUAAGCACCGGCUAACUUCGCG